This 448-nucleotide ribosomal RNA is filed under the name uncultured bacterium. RNAcentral's name for it is "bacterial SSU rRNA". It matches the Rfam family "Bacterial small subunit ribosomal RNA", at positions 330 to 792 of the family's 1533-position model. The record is from RNAcentral.
UCCAGACUCCUACGGGAGGCAGCAGUGGGGAAUAUUGGACAAUGGGGGGAACCCUGAUCCAGCGACGCCGCGUGAGUGAAGAAGUAUUUCGGUAUGUAAAGCUCUAUCAGCAGGGAAGAAAGAAAUGACGGUACCUGACUAAGAAGCCCCGGCUAACUACGUGCCAGCAGCCGCGGUAAUACGUAGGGGGCAAGCGUUAUCCGGAUUUACUGGGUGUAAAGGGAGCGUAGACGGCGAUGCAAGCCAGAUGUGAAAGCCCGGGGCUCAACCCCGGGACUGCAUUUGGAACUGUGUGGCUGGAGUGUCGGAGAGGCAGGCGGAAUUCCUAGUGUAGCGGUGAAAUGCGUAGAUAUUAGGAGGAACACCAGUGGCGAAGGCGGCCUGCUGGACGAUGACUGACGUUGAGGCUCGAAAGCGUGGGGAGCAAACAGGAUUAGAUACCCCCGUA